UGGGGAAUCUUGGACAAUGGGGGCAACCCUGAUCCAGCCAUGCCGCGUGAGUGAUGAAGGCCUUAGGGUCGUAAAGCUCUUUCGCCUGUGAAGAUAAUGACGGUAGCAGGUAAAGAAACCCCGGCUAACUCCGUGCCAGCAGCCGCGGUAAUACGGAGGGGGUUAGCGUUGUUCGGAAUUACUGGGCGUAAAGCGCACGUAGGCGGAUCGGAAAGUUGGGGGUGAAAUCCCGGGGGGCUCAACCCCCGGGAACUGCCUCCCAAAACCUAUCGGUCUAGAGUUCGAGAGAGGUGAGUGGAAUUCCGAGUGUAGAGGUGAAAUUCGUAGAUAUUCGGAGGAACACCAGUGGCGAAGGCGGCUCACUGGCUCGAUACUGACGCUGAGGUGCGAAAGUGUGGGGGAGCAAACAGGGAUUUAGAUACCCUGGGUAGUCCACACCGUAAACGAUGAAUGCCAGUCGUCGGAUAGCAUGCUAUUCGGUGACACACCUAA
This 492-nucleotide ribosomal RNA is filed under the name uncultured bacterium. RNAcentral describes it as "bacterial SSU rRNA". It matches the Rfam family "Bacterial small subunit ribosomal RNA", at positions 355 to 855 of the family's 1533-position model. The record is from RNAcentral.